This 945-nucleotide ribosomal RNA is filed under the name uncultured bacterium. RNAcentral describes it as "bacterial SSU rRNA". It matches the Rfam family "Bacterial small subunit ribosomal RNA", at positions 12 to 968 of the family's 1533-position model. The record is from RNAcentral.
UUUGAUCCUGGCUCAGAAUCAACGCUGGCGGCGCGCCUCAGACAUGCAAGUCGAACGAUUAAGACUCUCUUCGGAGAGUGUAUAAAGUGGCGCACGGGUGAGUAACACGUAGGUAAUGUACCGGAGGGUGGGGAAUAACUUAGGGAAACUUAAGCUAAUACCGCAUAAUGCAGCGGCUCGACAUCGAGACAGUUGUUAAAGGAGCAAUCCGCCUUUUGAGCAGCCUGCGGCAGAUUAGCUAGUUGGUAAGGUAAUGGCUUACCAAGGCUACGAUCUGUAACCGACCUGAGAGGGUGGUCGGUCACACUGACACUGAAUAACGGGUCAGACUCCUACGGGAGGCAGCAGUCGGGAAUUUUGGGCAAUGGGCGAAAGCCUGACCCAGCAACGCCGCGUGAAGGAUGAAGUAUUUCGGUAUGUAAACUUCGUAAGAAUAGGAAGAAUAAAUGACGGUACUAUUUGUAAGGUCCGGCUAACUACGUGCCAGCAGCCGCGGUAAUACGUAGGGACCAAGCGUUGUUCGGAUUUACUGGGCGUAAAGGGCGCGUAGGCGGCGUGGUAAGUCAGCUGUGAAAUCUCCGAGCUUAACUCGGAACGGUCAGCUGAUACUGCUGUGCUAGAGUACAGAAGGGGCAAUCGGAAUUCUUGGUGUAGCGGUGAAAUGCGUAGAUAUCAAGAGGAACACCUGAGGUGAAGACGGGUUGCUGGGCUGAUACUGACGCUGAGGCGCGAAAGCUAGGGUAGCAAACGGGAUUAGAUACCCCGGUAGUCCUAGCCCUAAACGAUGUAUGCUUGGUGUCUGGAGUUUUAAAUCUCCGGGUGCCGUCGCUAACGCUUUUAGCAUACCGCCUGGGGAGUACGCACGCAAGUGUGAACUCAAGGAAUUGACGGGGACCCGCACAAGCGGUGGAGCAUGGUGGUUUAAUUCGACGCAACSGCGAAGAA